AUCAUUGGCCAGUCUGAGGAGAGGUGUCUUAUGAUGCGCGUGCACGUGACUUCAUCGUUUUUAUAUUUUUCUUCUUGGAUGAAUAGCUAUUGCCCGGUUGUAAAAUUAUCGCAAUUUUACGUUACAAAAUACCCUAAAGGAUUGAUUGUAAACAUCGUUUGACGUGUUUCUACAAACGGUAAUGGAACUUUGAACAUUUCGUCUAUGGAUUUGCGUCCACGCCACAUGGCAUUGUAAAGUGUUCUGGAUGGGUCAACAAAACGGACGUAUUUGGACAUAAAUGAUGGACUUUGCAGAACAAAUGAACAUUUUUUGUGGAAGUGGGUGCCCAUCCGAGUGCAUUCCGCCGAAGAUCAGCAAAGGCCUUUAAAUCAUCUUCCAAUGAGCAGACUUCCAUCCACAGCAGUGUUUUGUCAUCUCUCCAAUUAAGCCAUGGACAAGUGGACGUGCAGUUGGAGAUGGUCGCGGACUAAUUCCUCAGAACAAGAGACAGUUUGCUAUCCACGAGUCAGCAUGAACAACUCUAAUAAUGGAUGAUUAACACUGACGUGCAUGAACUCCUUGAUUAGUUCCGAGCAGAAAGAUGUCGUAUGGUUUUUACUAAUGUAAUGCAUUUCAUAAUGCAGACCCAAUGCUGGCCUUGAAUUAAUCCCUGAGUUCUCAAAAGCAGAGCUUGUAGCAAGCAGCAAGUGUAAACUGGGGCCACAAUAGAUUUUCAAUGGUCUCAAUAAACAGAAAGAAAAAACACUACAUUGCUCCAUUUUCUCGUCUUUUCAUGUUUCUCUCUCUUUCUAUUUCUUGAAAUUGCUUAAUAUGAGUACGAAUUCAUGUUUCUAACUCCAAAUAACGCAAAAAGAGCCGUAGGGAAAAGAGAAACAAAAACAAAGUGUAUCUCUGUCAGAAUGGAAGAAAGGAAAACAAAGGCUUGAUUAGCAUUAAUAGAAGGAGGAUUAAUCCAGGAGUCUUUAAUACAGGGAAGGAUCUUAUUAUAAUAACCAGAGAAAGAGAGAAAGACCAUUCCUCUGUAUGCCUCUUAAGCCUGUGGAUUAAAUGACCUUCGGUGGCAGGAGAAACAAUUAGUCUUUUAAAAGCUUGUUUAGGAGGAGCGUCUGACGCUCCAUUACUGUGCUGUAAGCUGUUUAAUAGGUGGCUGGGACAGGUCUUUAAGAUCCUAAUUCACAAUCAAGACCACUAAUGAUUUGGGCCAGUCGUCUGCGGCCUCGCGGCUUCUUAGGGUCUGUUGCUCAGGAG
This 1251-nucleotide long non-coding RNA is filed under the name Salmo salar (Atlantic salmon). RNAcentral's name for it is "lncRNA (ENSSSAG00000098536.1, ENSSSAG00020051534.1)". The record is from RNAcentral. Lineage: Eukaryota; Metazoa; Chordata; Actinopteri; Salmoniformes; Salmonidae.